UCGAGUGGCACAGCAGAUUCUGUUGUAUUGGAUGGAGGAGCAGCCCAUGCCAUCCAAUAGUUGCUUGCUACUUGCAAUACUUGGAAGCAUGUUUGUGAAAGGAUUAUUAUUGGAACCAAGGCGCCUCCUCGUACAGUAGUCAGCAAUUGAUGUGGAUGAUUUGCUUGAGGUUUCAGCAUUGGAUACUAGUUGGAGGGCUUCGCUGUGAGCUCCAACUAAUGCCUCAAAUUCUAUGUUCUGUCGCAGAAGUUCAUCAUACUUUCCAACUUGGGAAAUUCUUCCAUUCUUCAUUACCUGUUAUAUUAAAUAAUUGCAGUUGCAAUUAGCUGGUGGGUGUAACUGAUUGUGGCUGUUAUAAUUCUCUGCCCAAUGAGUACUUUUUUUUUUCUUUUUCUAAAUUUUCUAUUUUCAUUUUAAUGUACAACAAAAAAACUAUUGAGGUUAUAGCAUAAUCACAAGUUAAGCUAGUUUUUGCUUACCA
This is a long non-coding RNA of Zingiber officinale, 481 nucleotides long. RefSeq lists it as uncharacterized. The record is from RefSeq and is a predicted model, not a curated record. The transcript is spliced from 2 exons. NCBI's taxonomy places the organism in Eukaryota, Viridiplantae, Streptophyta, Magnoliopsida, Zingiberales, Zingiberaceae.